AUAAAUUAUUUUUUGUAAAAAAAAUAUUAAAAAAUCUGUUCUUAUCAGUUUAAUAUCUGAUACGUAUCGGGGGACUACAUAUUAAAUGUAUUUUUCGAACAGGGAGUCGGAAAUGGGGCUUGCUCCGUCCGCUCCACGCAUCGACCCGGUAUUGCAGUACCUCCGGGAACGGUGCAACACUU
Small nuclear RNA from Oncorhynchus mykiss (rainbow trout), 182 nucleotides. Its record names the gene U2. It matches the Rfam family "U2 spliceosomal RNA". From Rfam's summary of the family: U2 is a small nuclear RNA (snRNA) component of the spliceosome (involved in pre-mRNA splicing). Complementary binding between U2 snRNA (in an area lying towards the 5' end but 3' to hairpin I) and the branchpoint sequence (BPS) of the intron results the bulging out of an unpaired adenosine, on the BPS, which initiates a nucleophilic attack at the intronic 5' splice site, thus starting the first of two transesterification reactions that mediate splicing. Lineage: Eukaryota; Metazoa; Chordata; Actinopteri; Salmoniformes; Salmonidae. The record is from Ensembl.